AGCGAAGAAAAUGUACUGAGAAGUCAAAAGGAGAACUCCUCGACAUGGUCGACUCUUUUGGCUUUACCGGUUAGGCGAAGACUGAUCGGUGAUCGCCGGAGUUUCAAUCUCCUCAAAUCCGUUUCACUGCCAUUGUCUUCGUUCAACUAGUCUAAUUAAUGGCCAAAUCUCGAUCAGUUGUGGAGCUCACUACCCGCUACGAUCUCGGCGGCGUCGACAAGAUCCGAUCCCUAUGUCUCUCCCCUCACUCCGAUUCCCAAACCCUAGUCUACCUCGGCACUUUCUCCGGAUCCAUUCUUCUCCUCUCCCUCGACACUUCGACCAACAUCGUCGCGCGUCUCGGAACUGUAUCGCUGAGCGCUUCUCCAGUCGAGUCUAUCUUCGUGCUCGGCCAGGAAAGAGGCAAAGUUCUAGCACUCUGCAAUGGAUACUUGUUCUUGGUUGAUUCGCUUCUCUCUCAACCCGCUAAGAGAUUGGGUGGGGUGUUGAAAGGGAUCAAUGUUGUUGCUAGGAGAGUGAGGGGACGCGAGUCCUCCUCGAGUACUGACUUGUUGCUGUUGCCUUCCGAGGUUUCAGGUGAGUCUAGCUCGAGCAAGAAGUUUCUUCAGAUGAUUGGGGGUGGGAGUCGUGUGAGUGAUCUUAAAGGUAAGGAUCUUAGACGCGAGGGAGUUCUUCAUCAAGGUCGUUAUGUUUUCGCUGUUGCGAUUGGUGAGAGGAUGUUGCUGAUUGAGCUUCAGUGUGAUGAAGAGGACGGGAAAGGUGAUUCCUUUGUUGUGUUGAAGGAGAUUGUGGGGAUUGGUGGGGUAAAGACUUUGGUUUGGCUUGAUGAUUAUGUUGUUGCGGGGACUGAUAAAGGGUAUAGCUUGAUCUCGUGUGUUACUGGUCAAAGUGGGGUGAUAUUCACGUUGCCUGAUGUCUCUGAUCCGCCGCUGCUUAAAUUGCUUUGUAAAGAGUGGAAGGUGUUGUUGUUGGUGGACAAUGUUGGAGUUGUUGUGGACACGAAUGGUCAGCCUGUUGGUGGGAGCCUUGUGUUUCGUAGGAGGCCUGAUUCUGUUGGAGAAUUGUCUUUCUAUUUGGUCACUGUAGGGGAUGGGAAAAUGGAGUUACAUCAGAAGAAGUCGGGUGCUUGUGUUCAGUCAGUUAGUUUUGGUCCUGAAGGGUGUGGGCCUUCGGUUUUGGCGGUUGAUGAGGCAGGAGACGGGAACCUUUUGGCUGUUACUACCAUGUCAAAGGUUAUUUUUUAUCGGAGAGUGUCUUAUGAAGAACAGAUUAAAGACCUCUUGAGGAAAAAGAGAUACAGAGAAGCCAUCUCCUUGGUGGAGGAGCUUGACUCAGAGGGGGAAAUUUCGAAAGAGAUGCUUUCUUUUCUUCAUGCUCAGAUAGGGUAUCUACUACUAUUUGAUUUGCGCUUUGAGGAAGCAGUGAAUCAAUUUCUAAAGUCAGAAAGCAUGGAACCUUCUGAAGUUUUUCCUUUUAUCAUGCGAGAUCCUAAUCGAUGGUCUUUGCAGGUUCCGAGAAACAGAUACUGGGGGUUGCAUCCCCCUCCUGCUCCUCUUGAAGAUGUUGUAGAUAAUGGUUUGGCGGCCAUCCAGAGAGCCAUCUUCCUAAGAAAAGCGGGAAUGGACACUCCGGUUGACGAAGAGUUUUCCUCAAACCCUCCAAGUAGAGCUGAUUUAUUAGAGUCAGCAAUCAAAAACAUGACAAGGUACCUCGAGGUCUCACGUGAGAAGGACUUAAGUCACCCAGUAAGAGAGGGAAUAGACACGCUUCUAAUGCUUCUGUAUAGAGCCUUAAACCGUGUUGAAGAUAUGGAGAAUCUUGCAUCUUCUGUUAACAACUGCGUUGUGGAGGAGUUGGAGUCUCUUCUAAAUGAAUCUGAACAUCUGCGGACACUUGCAUUCCUAUAUGCAAGUAAGGGGAUGAGUGCAAAGGCUCUUGCUAUUUGGCGUCUCUUUGCGAAGAAUUAUUCAUCUGGUCUGUGGCAAGACUCAGAUGACUUGGUGCCUUAUUUACACGAAAACGAGCUCAUUAGGCUAUCUGGAAAAGAGGCUGCUGCUGCAGAAGCAGCGAGGAUUCUUGAGGAACCCUGUGAUCCAGAACUGGCAUUGCAGCAUCUUAGUUGGAUUUCAGAUAUAAACCCAUUGUUUGCUAUCCAAGUCUUGACGUCAGAUAAAAGGACAGAAGAGCUUUUGCCAGAGAAAGUGAUCCAAGCUAUUGAUCCCCAAAAAGUUGAAAUCAUACAGAGGUACCUCCAAUGGUUGAUUGAAGAUAGAGAUUAUAAUGACCCGCAGCUGCAUACAUCAUAUGCUCUCUCACUUGCCAAGUCAGCACUUGAGUGUGUUGAAGUUCAAAAUGGUAACCAAGAAACGGAUACUGGAAGCAGAGAAGCACAUGAUUGCAAUGUAGGAAAUAUUUCUCUGUUUGAAAUUGAUGUGCGGGAAAGAUUGCAGACCUUUUUGCAGUCCUCAGAUCUGUAUGACCCUGAAGAAAUAUUGAAUUUGAUUGAAGGAUCAGAACUGUGGUUGGAAAAGGCUAUACUUUACCGAAGGAUAGGACAGGAGACAGUGGUCCUUCAAAUUCUUGCUCUGAAGCUCGAGGAUUGUGCAGCUGCAGAGCAAUAUUGUGUAGAGAUUGGAAGACCAGAUGCAUUUAUGCAGUUACUUGAUAUGUACCUGGAUCCUCAAAAUGGCAAAGAGCCUAUGUUCAAAGCUGCUGUUCGUCUUCUCCACAACCAUGGGGAAUCACUUGAUCCUUUGCAAGUUUUGGAAAAAUUGUCUCCUGACAUGCCCUUAAAACUGGCUUCAGAUACAAUUUUGAGAAUGCUGAGGGCUCGGGUUCAUCAUCAUCGUCAAGGCCAAUCAAUUGCUACAGAUCGUACACAAUGUCUCUCGCGCAUUAGAUGUGGAUUCAAGGUUGGCAAGAUUAGAAGAAAGAUCACGUCACGUGCAGAUAAACGAUGAGAGCCUCUGUGAUUCUUGCUUCGCCCGCCUAGGAACUAAGCUAUUUGCUAUGUACCCUGAUGAUACCAUUGUGUGUUACAAGUGUUACAGACGCCUGGGUGAAUCAAAGUCAGUAACGGGCCGUGACUUCAAGCGAGAUGUUCUGAUAAAACCCGGUUGGUUAGUGAACCGGUAGCUGAAGAAGCCCUGUUGUUUAAAAGUUGACCUCUAAUCUCUCACAAACACGUAGAAGCCUGUACAGUACAGAUACUAAAGAACAACAUAAGGAGAUAUGAAGUCGAUCUCGACAUAGCUUCAUGAAGUUCAUCUCUAGGCUUCAAAGGACUCUUCAUGCAAUGAUUAGUGUAGUGUGUGGUAGACGUUGGAGGCCAAUGGAGUAGUUCUGUAGGGGCAUUUUUGCCUUUGUGACAGUUAAAAACGGGCAAAUAAUUUUAUAUAAUACCUUGUUGUUACUUUCUUCUCAA
Molecule: RNA transcript, 3424 nt
Organism: Brassica napus (rape)
Lineage: Eukaryota; Viridiplantae; Streptophyta; Magnoliopsida; Brassicales; Brassicaceae
Gene name: vacuolar sorting protein 3
Exons: 14
Source: RefSeq, a predicted model, not a curated record